This 590-nucleotide ribosomal RNA is filed under the name uncultured bacterium. RNAcentral's name for it is "partial 16S ribosomal RNA". It matches the Rfam family "Bacterial small subunit ribosomal RNA", at positions 355 to 1376 of the family's 1533-position model. The record is from RNAcentral.
UGGGGAAUAUUGGACAAUGGGCGCAAGCCUGAUCCAGCAAUGCCGCGUGUGUGAAGAAGGCCUUCGGGUUGUAAAGCACUUUUAUCAGGAGCGAAACGCUGUCGGCUAAUACCCGGCGGAACUGACGGUACCUGAGGAAUAAGCACCGGCUAACUUCGUGCCAGCAGCCGCGGUAAUACGAAGGGUGCAAGCGUUAAUCGGAAUUACUGGGCGUAAAGCGCGCGUAGGCGGUUUCUUAAGUCUGCUGUGAAAUCCCCGGGCUCAACCUGGGAAUGGCAGUGGAUACUGGGAGGCUAGAGUGUGUCAGAGGGUGGUGGAAUUCCCGGUGUAGCGGUGAAAUGCGUAGAGAUCGGGAGGAACAUCAGUGGCGAAGGCGGCCACCUGGGACAACACUGACGCUGAGGCACGAAAAGCGUGGGGAGCAAACAGGAUUAGAUACCCUGGUAGUCCACGCCCUAAAACGAUGCGAACUGGAUGUUGGUCUCAACUCGGAGAUCAGUGUCGAAGCUAACGCGUUAAGUUCGCCGCCUGGGGAGUACGGUCGCAAGACUGAAACUCAAAGGAAUUGACGGGGUCAUAGCUGUUUCCUG